RNAcentral lists this non-coding RNA (108 nucleotides) under bovine gut metagenome. RNAcentral describes it as "FMN riboswitch (RFN element)". It matches the Rfam family "FMN riboswitch aptamer (RFN element)". Rfam says of the family: The RFN element is a highly conserved domain that is found frequently in the 5'-untranslated regions of prokaryotic mRNAs that encode for flavin mononucleotide (FMN) biosynthesis and transport proteins. This element is a metabolite-dependent riboswitch that directly binds FMN in the absence of proteins. The record is from RNAcentral.
CACUCAGGGCGGGGUGAAAUUCCCCACCGGCGGUAAAGUCCGCGAGCCGCAUAAUGCGGUUGAUACGGUGAAAUUCCGUAACCGACGGUAAAGUCCGGAUGAAAGAGU